This is a long non-coding RNA of Xenopus laevis (African clawed frog), 178 nucleotides long. RefSeq lists it as uncharacterized. The transcript is spliced from 3 exons. The record is from RefSeq and is a predicted model, not a curated record. Lineage: Eukaryota; Metazoa; Chordata; Amphibia; Anura; Pipidae.
AGAAAAGUGAGGAAAGUGUGGAAGGCAAGGAACAUGCACACAGCAAGGAAUCUAAAGAGAAGAGGAAGGAACAUGAUCAUAUUAAACAGUUUUCAGGUGCAUUUUAUUUCACAUUAAAAUCAAACUCUACUUUUUUUACAUAUCCGCCUGGAUUUGUUUUUAAGCAAGUUGUCACAAA